This 77-nucleotide transfer RNA is filed under the name Rhodonellum psychrophilum GCM71 = DSM 17998. RNAcentral's name for it is "tRNA-Pro". It matches the Rfam family "tRNA". From Rfam's summary of the family: Transfer RNA (tRNA) molecules are approximately 80 nucleotides in length. Their secondary structure includes four short double-helical elements and three loops (D, anti-codon, and T loops). Lineage: Bacteria; Pseudomonadati; Bacteroidota; Cytophagia; Cytophagales; Cytophagaceae. The record is from RNAcentral.
CGGGGUGUGGCGCAGUCCGGUAGCGUGCUCGUCUGGGGGGCGAGAGGUCGCAGGUUCAAAUCCUGUCACUCCGACAA